UUCAUUUUUGGACGAAACUUUGAAGGUUUAUAUAUGCAAGCCGCAGCACAAAAAAUCAUUACUUUCAUUUCCUUUUCAUUAUAGUUCUUUUUCAAUAAUCUGGAAUCGACAAGCUUUAAUAAUUUGGAAUCGACAAGCUUUGUAUAGUCUCCACUGCGCAAAGCAUAUUGAAUCUGAGGUUUUGCCCAAGUAACAAUAUCAGUGCCGUCAAACAUAGUUUUUCUCCCAGAUAUUAGCUCUAGAAGAACCACACCAUAGGAAUAAACAUCUGACUUUUCAGAUACUCUUUGAGAAUGCUCUGGAUCCGCAUAACUGUAUGGAACAAGCAAUCAUAUUAGUGUCUUGAAGCUAAGUUUUUCUUCCAAUUAUUAGCUCUAGAUGAAUCACACCAUAGAAAUAAUCAUAUGACUUUUUAGAGACGUUUUGAGAAGGAUAAUGCUCUACUUCUGCAUAACUGCAUUGAAUAACCAAAUUAAAAAUUUUUAUCUAAAAUAUGAAAAUCUUUGAUGGAGAAGCCUCAAAAAGGGGCUAUUUCUUUCAUUCUUAUUUUAUUAUAAGUAUUCUAAAUCAAACUAUAAUAGUAAUGUAUUCAACCACUUAAAUAGAGAAAGAGAGAGAGAGAAAUCAUCUUACACUGGAGUUCCCUUGUUUGAUGUACUGAUGUGAGUGAGGUUACCAGUUUCCGGAAAAAGAAGAGCAAGUCCAAAAUCUGCUACCUUUGGCUCAUAUUUUUUGUCAAUAAGAAUAUUAUCGGCCUUAAUAUCACGAUGGAUAAUUUUGCGUGUACAAUUGUCAUGUAAAUAUUCCAACCCUUUAGCUGUUCCUAUGGCGAUUUUCAUUCUUCUUUUCCACUCCAAAGUAAUCGCUCCAUGUAAAUGAUGUCUCAAGGAUUUUUUGGGAACGAACUCCAAAACAAGCAAUUUAUCUUUUCCUUCAAUGCAGCAUCCAAACAGCUUAACAAGAUUUUUGUGACUCACUUUGCUAACAACCUCAAUCUCCUUUUCCGAUUCUUCUUUUGACUGCGAUCCUUCUUUUGACUGCGAUCUUUCGGCCGAAAGAAUUUUAAGUUUCUUAAUAGCAACCUUUUUCCCGCCUAGUGUUCCCUCAUAGACUAGACCAAAACCGCCCUCGCCGAGGAGAUUUUCGUUGGAAAACGUAGAAGUUGCUUUUGCUAGUUCAUCGUAGCUAUAUUGCCUCAGCCCAUAUCCUUCUCGUGAGGUAGAUCCUGCAGUUUCAGCGCGGUGAUCUGCCUCGUUGCAUCUGAAACAAUUCAUCACGCAAGCCAGCAAGAUUGCAAGUCAAUACAAUACUAUGAUUAGGAGAGAGAGACAGAGAGAGAGAG
This 1342-nucleotide unclassified non-coding RNA is filed under the name Hevea brasiliensis (rubber tree). Lineage: Eukaryota; Viridiplantae; Streptophyta; Magnoliopsida; Malpighiales; Euphorbiaceae. The record is from RNAcentral.